This 76-nucleotide transfer RNA is filed under the name Alphaproteobacteria bacterium. RNAcentral describes it as "tRNA-Arg". It matches the Rfam family "tRNA". Rfam says of the family: Transfer RNA (tRNA) molecules are approximately 80 nucleotides in length. Their secondary structure includes four short double-helical elements and three loops (D, anti-codon, and T loops). The record is from RNAcentral. Lineage: Bacteria; Pseudomonadati; Pseudomonadota; Alphaproteobacteria.
GCACCCGUAGCUCAAUGGAUAGAGCGCUGCCCUCCGGAGGCAGAGGUUGUGGGUUCGACCCCCGCCGGGUGUACCA